GAUGAACGCUGGCGGCGUGCCUAAUACAUGCAAGUCGAGCGAACAGACGAGGAGCUUGCUCCUCUGACGUUAGCGGCGGACGGGUGAGUAACACGUGGAUAACCUACCUAUAAGACUGGGAUAACUUCGGGAAACCGGAGCUAAUACCGGAUAAUAUAUUGAACCGCAUGGUUCAAUAGUGAAAGACGGUUUUGCUGUCACUUAUAGAUGGAUCCGCGCCGCAUUAGCUAGUUGGUAAGGUAACGGCUUACCAAGGCAACGAUGCGUAGCCGACCUGAGAGGGUGAGCGGCCACAAGGGAACGGAGACACGGACCAGACUCCGACGGGAGGCAGCAGGAGGGAAUCUUCCGAAAGGGGCGAAAGCUUGACGGAGCAACGCCGCGUGAGUGAUGAAGGUCUUCGGAUCGAAAACCUUUUUUAUGAGGAAAGAACAAAUGUGUAAGUAACUAUGCACGUCUUGACGGUACCUAAUAAGAAAGCCACGGCUAACUAC
RNAcentral lists this ribosomal RNA (494 nucleotides) under uncultured bacterium. RNAcentral's name for it is "partial 16S ribosomal RNA". It matches the Rfam family "Bacterial small subunit ribosomal RNA", at positions 28 to 504 of the family's 1533-position model. The record is from RNAcentral.